This 356-nucleotide ribosomal RNA is filed under the name Tomonotus mexicanus. RNAcentral describes it as "partial 12S ribosomal RNA". Lineage: Eukaryota; Metazoa; Arthropoda; Insecta; Orthoptera; Acrididae. The record is from RNAcentral.
UUUAAGUGUAAAUUUGAACUUACCUGGGUAGUAUUAGAUAAGGUCUUAAAACCCAAAGAAUUUGGCGGUAUUUCAUUCCAUUCAGAGGAACCUAUCUCGUAAUUGAUAGUACACGAUUUACUUUACUUAAUUUAUUUGUUUGUAUAUCUCCGUUAUCGGAAAAUCUUUUUGGAGUUAUAAUUUUCCUGUUUUUUCAUUAGAAAUUAUUUCAGGUCAAGGUGCAGCUUAUAGUUAAGUGUAUGAUGGGUUACAAUAAAUUUUUUUAUUACGAAUUUGAUUUUGAAAAGUUUUGAUGAAGGUGGAUUUGAUGGUAAUUUAAUUAAUUUAGGUUAAUUGAUAUUGGCUCUGAGAUGUGU